RNAcentral lists this ribosomal RNA (440 nucleotides) under uncultured bacterium. Its description in RNAcentral is "partial 16S ribosomal RNA". It matches the Rfam family "Bacterial small subunit ribosomal RNA", at positions 338 to 795 of the family's 1533-position model. The record is from RNAcentral.
CCUACGGGUGGCUGCAGUGGGGAAUAUUGCACAAUGGGGGAAACCCUGAUGCAGCAACGCCGCGUGAGUGAAGAAGUAUCUCGGUAUGUAAAGCUCUAUCAGCAGGGAAGAAAAUGACGGUACCUGAGUAAGAAGCCCCGGCUAACUACGUGCCAGCAGCCGCGGUAAUACGUAGGGGGCAAGCGUUAUCCGGAUUUACUGGGUGUAAAGGGAGCGUAGUCGGGGAUACAAGUCCGAAGUGAAAGCCCGGGGCUCAACCCCGGGACUGCUUUUGACACUGUGUUGCUGGAGUGCCGGAGAGGUAAGCGGAAUUCCUAGUGUAGCGGUGAAAUGCGUAGAUAUUAGGAAGAACACCAGUGGCGAAGGCGGCUUGCUGGACAGUAACUGACGUUGAGGCUCGAAAGCGUGGGGAGCAAACAGGAUUAGAUACCCGGGUAGUC